AUGAAGAACGCUUCCUACUCUAUCGUAUCCUGGAAUGUACGUGGUUUAGGUGAUAAUGACAAGUGUGCGAACGUGUUCUCUGAAAUCAAUAGCUUGCGCCCGUCCAUAGCCCUUCUUCAGGAAACCAAGUUACAAAAACCUGACACUAUCAAGCUUCGAUCGAUCCUGCCACGAUUCCUUGAUUCUAACAAUCACCUCGACGCAUCUGGUACUGCGGGCGGCAUUCUUUCGCCCACCAACUCCCGAUGCUUUUCGCUCAUCAACUGCCAACACAACCGCUUCACAUCAACCUUAACACUAUCAUGUCUUGCAUCGCCACACAACAUCUUCGUUACAAAUGUAUACGCUCCAUCGCAACGUGAUCUAAAGAUAGCUUUCCUCGACGAACUAAAAUUAAUUGAACCACCAAUGCAAUCACCUUGGCUCCUAAUUGGAGACUUCAACAUCACCAGAUUCCCCUACGAACGCAACAACAACAACUUUCGAAGAUCAGAGGCAGACGCUUUUAACAAUACAAUUGAUCAACUUGCUCUCAUUGAACUACCACUCCUAGAUAGAGAGUUCACCUGGUCAAAUAAAAGGCAGUCUCCUACUCUAAUCCGACUAGAUAGGGUUUUGAUCAACCUAGCUUGGGAUGCUAUCUUCCCUAACUCUCACUUAACCUCUCUCACUAGGUUUAUUCCUGAUCACGUACCACUACUUGUCACAGUAUCCACGGACGUCCCAUCUUCCCGCCUUUUUCGAUUUGAACGAUUCUGGGCCUCAUUCUCAAAAUGUGCAGAUGUGAUACGUGAAUGUUGGCAGCCCAACGCUGCACAUCAGGCCCCCCCCAUGGACCCUGCUACCACCCUAGUUGUUUGCAUCAAAUCUACACGAUCGGCCCUAAAGUCUUGGGCCAAAACGCUAAAGCCCAUCUACCAACGAGAAACUAACUGCAAACUGGCUAUCUAG
Molecule: ribosomal RNA, 951 nt
Filed under: Triticum aestivum (bread wheat)
Lineage: Eukaryota; Viridiplantae; Streptophyta; Magnoliopsida; Poales; Poaceae
Description: partial small subunit ribosomal RNA
Source: RNAcentral